Perognathus longimembris pacificus (Pacific pocket mouse) is the source of this 541-nucleotide long non-coding RNA. RefSeq lists it as uncharacterized. Lineage: Eukaryota; Metazoa; Chordata; Mammalia; Rodentia; Heteromyidae. The record is from RefSeq and is a predicted model, not a curated record. The transcript is spliced from 3 exons.
UGCCAGGCUUUGGCUUCCCCAGCUUCUCCUUAACCUCCCACCCGCCACUGCCCUGGGGUCAUUUGACAGAUACCCAUGAUGUCCAGGGGCACAUCCCCUCAAUUCUGCCUUUCCACCCGCAUCCUAAACAUCUUGAAGCCAAGAUGCAGCUUGCAAUUCGAGUUGCAAGAGUUUUGUUUGGUCAUACAUAAAAUACCAUGUGGCUCAUCACUGCAGAUAUGUGGACUGCAGUGUGGCUUAUCACUGCAGAUGUGUGGACUCCAUGAAACGCAGCCUGUGUGGGGCCCUGGCACUGGAGAGAGUGCCAGAGGGGAGAACUUUCUCAGCACCUACUCUAUGCCCAUGUCAUGCAAUCACCAGCUCACACUGCUACUUAUUGGUACCAGUGUUCCCUGCUUAGAAAUGAGUAAACGGAGUCACAGGCUCAUUAACUUGUUCCAUCUCCUGCAGCUAAGAAAGAGCCAGAGCCAAAUUCUGAGCCCAAACAUCCAUGCUGUGCAUGUGUAAUUGCUUUUGCCAUCCCACAAGAACCCCCCUCCCC